GACAGAGGGUGCAAACGUUGUUCGGAAUUACUGGGCGUAAAGCGCGCGUAGGCGGCCGCUUAAGUCGGAUGUGAAAGCCCCUGGCUCAACUGGGGAAGUGCACCCGAAACUGAGUGGCUUGAGUACAAAAGAGGGUCGCGGAAUUCCCGGUGUAGAGGUGAAAUUCGUAGAUAUUGGGAAGAACACCGGUGGCGAAGGCGGCUCUCUGGACCGAGACUGACGCUGAGGCGCGAAAGCGUGGGGAGCAAACAGG
RNAcentral lists this ribosomal RNA (253 nucleotides) under uncultured bacterium. Its description in RNAcentral is "partial 16S ribosomal RNA". It matches the Rfam family "Bacterial small subunit ribosomal RNA", at positions 524 to 776 of the family's 1533-position model. The record is from RNAcentral.